AGUAAUGCUUAGGAAUCUGCCUAUUAGUGGGGGACAACAUUCCGAAAGGAAUGCUAAUACCGCAUACGUCCUACGGGAGAAAGCAGGGGAUCUUCGGACCUUGCGCUAAUAGAUGAGCCUAAGUCGGAUUAGCUAGUUGGUGGGGUAAAGGCCUACCAAGGCGACGAUCUGUAGCGGGUCUGAGAGGAUGAUCCGCCACACUGGGACUGAGACACGGCCCAGACUCCUACGGGAGGCAGCAGUGGGGAAUAUUGGACAAUGGGGGGAACCCUGAUCCAGCCAUGCCGCGUGUGUGAAGAAGGCCUUAUGGUUGUAAAGCACUUUAAGCGAGGAGGAGGCUACUGAGACUAAUACUCUUGGAUAGUGGACGUUACUCGCAGAAUAAGCACCGGCUAACUCUGUGCCAGCAGCCGCGGUAAUACAGAGGGUGCGAGCGUUAAUCGGAUUUACUGGGCGUAAAGCGUGCGUAGGCGGCUUUUUAAGUCGGAUGUGAAAUCCCCGAGCUUAACUUGGGAAUUGCAUUCGAUACUGGGAAGCUAGAGUAUGGGAGAGGAUGGUAGAAUUCCAGGUGUAGC
RNAcentral lists this ribosomal RNA (575 nucleotides) under uncultured bacterium. Its description in RNAcentral is "bacterial SSU rRNA". It matches the Rfam family "Bacterial small subunit ribosomal RNA", at positions 109 to 679 of the family's 1533-position model. The record is from RNAcentral.